UUCUUCCGCUUUGAAGGAAUUUCUAAAUAUUAUUUUUAAAUACCUACAUAUCAAAAAUCGCGGAACCGACAGGAUUCGAACUUGCGUCUUAUCGGUUCGCACUCGACACUCUGACCG
Molecule: long non-coding RNA, 117 nt
Organism: Maniola jurtina (meadow brown)
Lineage: Eukaryota; Metazoa; Arthropoda; Insecta; Lepidoptera; Nymphalidae
Exons: 3
Source: RefSeq, a predicted model, not a curated record